Glycine soja is the source of this 1720-nucleotide long non-coding RNA. RefSeq lists it as uncharacterized. The transcript has 3 exons. NCBI's taxonomy places the organism in Eukaryota, Viridiplantae, Streptophyta, Magnoliopsida, Fabales, Fabaceae. The record is from RefSeq and is a predicted model, not a curated record.
AAAACGGCCACUGCGCAAUGUCGUCAAGCCUAUUACGGUGCCGUUUUAAGAAAACCGGCAGUGUUGCCAUUAGCGGCGGAGUAACCAAAACCCUAAUCAGUGCCAAUCGAUGAAACCACCGUCACCACCUUCCCCGCUCCGAGAGCUUCUUCUCCGUUUAUCGACCGGAAUCGCGGAGACUCUGGCCACCGUUCUCCGUUUAUAACAUAGUCCGUUUGAAAGGAAGCUAAAUGAGAUGUUAAGUCACUUGGAGCGCCAGCCCAGAAACAAAGAGCGCUGCAUCACAUGGCUUAAAUCUGCUGAUUCACUAUUUAAUGGAGUUGAUCUUAUGCUUUUAGCUCACUUCAGGCGCAUUUUCCCAUUAUUUUUUCAGUGGAUGCAUGCUGAUAACAAUGAGAUUAUUAUUUUGGUUCUGAAAUGUACAUAUAUAAUUUUGAGACUGACGUGGAUAAGGAACUCAACGUUUGUUGCAAAGUUAAAAAAUUACCCUAUGCAAUUUUUAUUUCAGAUAAAUGUGGCAUUGAUGUGCUUGAGAAAUAGGGAAUCCUUUACUUGUUUGUGUCGUAUUUGUAUUAUAAUCACAAUAUUAUGAAAUCCUCUGAUGUGGCUUCUAAAAAAAUGAAAUCGUCUGCUGUAAAUAUUUUAUUGAUAUUAUCUCAUGAUUAAAUUUGAUUUGCUAUGAUAUUAUUUGAAGUCUGUAAGUUUCGUUUCAUUUUUAAGAUGUUUACAAAAACAGAUGGUCAAGAAAGGGAAUGAACAUUAGAAGAUGAGGCCAUGACUUACUGAUGUUUGAUAUUUAUUCCAUCAAGGAUUGAUGUUUGCUCUCAUAUUUUUCAACGGUCAUCAUCUUGGUCUCUCUCCAACUCUAGGGAAGGGAUGCCUUAGAAGUUAAUUUUACUGUCCAUCCAUUGAUAUACUAGAGAUUUAGACUACAUCUGCAUCCCUUUUCUUCAAAACCCAUUUUUAGGAAAAUUCCGAAGUUACAGAAAUCAAUCUUGGUUUCCCACUUACGUGGUGGAAUCCUGGGUCUGUGGAUAUAAACAUCUUUAUUUCUUAUCCUGUAUUUGCCUCGUUGAUAUAAUUCAUUUGUAGCACAUGGUUUGACUUCAGAUUGGUAGAUGAAGUUGCUCUUGUGUACAAGGAGGCAGCAUUAAGAACAGCCCGGGAAGAGAUUAGAGCAAAUAUAUGUCAGAUACUGAUCCUACUUCAAAAGUAAGGCUUUGUUUUUGGAUUAAUUUCUACAACUGAUAUAUUCAUUCCCUCAUAUAGUCCAUGUAUAUAUUCAAGAGCAAAUUGCAUGAACGAAAAAUAUAUUUAAAUCUUAUCUUUAGCAACAAACAAAUGUGAAUAGUGUUAAACAGUGGAUGUGUAGAUAUCCAAUUUUACAACUCUUUUUCCUCCAAGAAUAAAUGGCAACAAAGGAUUCAAUUUUCGCAACAUAGGUAAGCUGGAGAGAGACACCAGUCACUUAUUGCAACUAUUUCUGCAUCGUUGCUAGUACAAGAGGAACACCUUCAAUGAGGUUUAACGUGUGGGGAAAAAUUGUCUGCAUAUUAGAGUGAGAAAACUUUGGAUUCUGAUCACCAGCGUGCUAAUCAAAUUUGCCUUCUGGAAUUGCUGUGUGGGGAAAAACCAUGAAUGAUAGUGUCAACACGGACACAAUCCGAAUAAAAAACUAAAAAAAUAAAAGGUUCAAAGGUCAAACACAAUCCGCAAAAAA